AACCUAGCACAAAAGAAAAACAAUGCAACUGUUAGUGUUGCAUAGGAAGAAGGCAAAGGAAAAAUAGUUGAACGGUAGAAGUAUAUAAAGGAAGUUCUACUAACAAAAGUAAAGAAUAUAAAGAUGCAAUAAGAGAAUAUUAUAUACCUACAAUAUUUUGUUUUUUAUUUAUUUAUUUUGGAAUGAGCAAGUAUUCAUUGGAAUUUAUCAACAAAAGCUAUUGAUAGUAUCAUUGUGGGGAAGAUACCAAUCUUUAUCUGCAAGGUACAAAAAAAGGUGAUUAAGCGAGCAAAAAUUGUAGGACAAUACCCCACCCCCUAACCAGCAAUCAAUAUCCGGAUUGGGAGUCUCCGGGUUGUGCACAGCUUGUAACUGGCAAGUUAAAGCAGUUGCAGUGGUUAUGCCUGAACAACUGUCUGUAGCAUAGCGAAGGGGCUUGGGUGUGUUCGCCAACAGUUAAUAAAUGAUGGAUCAACUGCUCGCUUUGGAACUGUGUUGCUCCCACAGCUAUCUAUGCUUCUAUGCUUUAUUUGUGGUCUCGAUCUCAAUCAAGAGAGUUCAAUAGUAACAAGGAACGGGUAAUCUAUAUAAACCAGAUCAAAGUAAACUGGAUAGACUUAUCCCCCUCUAUGCUCUUGCUUGUCACAGAACUGUGCUACGCUACAAAUAGUGAAGGUAAGCACGCUCUGGAAUGGGCACAUUUAUUAGGGUUGUGCCUGAACAACUGCUUGUAGCGGUGCUCUGCUUACAAUGUAAUGACUUGUUGAUCGUUGAGCAGCUUGAGAAAUUCAACUCUGCACUGUUACAACUUUCAAGAAUACAUUACACAGAUGGCUUCGGUAGAUUGCAGACAGAAAACGGCAAUGGGUUUCCCAAGGCUACAAGUUAGUUGGUCACAUUGAAUGGGAAUUGAGUACUUAAUGCCCCUGUCUCUGCCUUAUUCAAAAUGGGAUUUCUGUGUAUCAGCCUGGGAAGAUCAGAGAUUAAUUUGAUUUCUGUUUCUGCACUGCUGGUCAUAUACUUCAGGUCUGAGAAUUAUUUUAGAGCUGACAGAAAUGGGUGCUCAUAUGAGUUCCAAUGCUGCAGCAGUAUUGGUUACUUACUUAUUUCUUAUUGUUGGGGUACAUGGGGAGGAACCCCAAGUUCCUGCUCUUUUUAUUUUUGGAGAUUCAAUUACAGACAAUGGCAAUAACAAUUACAUAACUACUCUUGCCAAAGCCAACUUUUUCCCAUACGGUAUAGAUUUUGAAGGCGGCGGCGCUACAGGAAGGUUUUGUAAUGGCAUGACCACUAUUGAUGUUUUAGGUUUGGACUUCUACUGCAAUUUCUUUUCUUCUAUCAGAUAAAGCUGUGACUUUUAGGGUUUUGCAGGUCAAAUUUUAACCAUAUAGAUUUUAGAAUUUGCAUCAUGAUGUUUUAGGUUUGGACUUUUAGUGUAAUUGCUUUUAUUUUAUCAGCUAAAGCUGUGAUUUGAUGCACAUUCAUUUCAAAACUGAAAACCCCUCUGAAAAUUAUAUGGGGUGAUUGGGACAGUCCGCCUGUUUACAAAUAAGCAUGUUAGUAUGCAAGUGCACUUCACAGGCAUUAUAGAGGAAGAAGCCGGAAAACAAGUCAGGUAAGGAGAGAAAAAUGACCGAAAAAUCUGACGUUUUGUAUGUUCUGAACCGGGUAAUUCCCAAUAUGACAUGGGCCAUGAAUGUAUUUGGAAAGAAGCAUUUUUCCUUUGAUGGAUGUAUUUAAUUCUGUCAUUUGGAUGAUGUUUUUAGCCGAAUUUUGUCAGUUCUGGUAUUAGACAUAGCAGAAAUCAUGAUUGGAAAUUUUCAAUGUUUUUAAAUCCAUUUCAUGUGUUUUAUACAAAACGUUGGCUUAUUGGUGAAGAAAAUGUCGUCUAUUGCAACUAUAGUAGCUCCCCACCCAUCCCGGGCCCCGGCCAGUUGAAUCAGCACCAAAGCAAAGCAAUAGCAUCGGAAUAAGCAGCACCCAUAGCGCUAAGCACGUUCUGUCCUGCUUGUAUGGGUCCCUGCCUCCCGGGGGGAAGAGCAGAGGCAGCUGAAGAGAAAAUUAAAUUUUUAUUUACAUUUGCCUUUAAAAUUAAAAAUUAUCCAUGUCAUAUAAGCUUAACAUUCUAUUUCAGGUUUACCUGUAUGAAGAGAAAAUGACAGGGGGUGAGCAGUUUGAUCCAAUCGGCAGAAUUUGCUUGGAAUCAACUCCAAUUUCUGUGCUGGGUGAAGCUGGUUUAUUGGCAGAGUAGCGUUUGAUAUCACCUUGUAUUUGCAGCGGAACACAAGCUUAUGUACAUCUGAAAUGUUUGAGAAGGUGGCAGAAUGCUGUCUUGACGUCGACGACACCUGGAGCCAGUCGUACAGCUGCUAUAAUCUGCACAGGCCCUCUGCAUUGGAGUUGGAACAGUGUCUGAGAAAAAAAUUUUGGGAAUUGAUGGUUUUGAUUAGAUUUUUGAAGAAGAUAUCCAGAAAGCCAGAUUUCCUUAUAACUCAUUUGAUUUUGAAUUGGAUGUUAAAUAUUCUGCAUUUCCUCCAGCUGAAGUGGAUAGAACCCUAAAGAUUGGGGGUGUUGCUGCUGUGCAUCUCUCACUUGAUGAACCGGAUCUGAAUCUGAAUACCCUACUUAAGCUACAAUUACCCAAUUUCAAAAUUGUCUAUCUGAGAAAAUUUGAUGCAAUCCUAAUCAGGGAAAAUCAUGUUAAGGAUCGACUGGGCUUUUACAUGUACAUGAUUUCUAAAAAAUAUAAUAACGCACAGUAAUUAAUAUGCUAAUAUUGAGAAAGAACAAAGGCUUACUAUUUGGCCUAUUUUCUAAAAUCUAAUAACUUUGUAGAUAUGUUGUGCAUAAGAUGGUUGUUUAUUUCUUAUAAAAUGUACAUAUCGGCUAAUAGAUUCUGUGGAAAUUAGCCAAUUGAUGAAAAAGGCGAUUAAAAAUUGAAAAAUGCUCUGGUUAUGUUACCAAGUAUUUCUUUGACCAUCUUAUUCCUUCUCCAGUAAAUAACUCCUUAUUCGUUCUCAAUCCGUUGAUCGAGCUAAUGGAUAUCGUUUACACUAAACUAUAGAAGAGCUACCUAACUGACGAGUCUGAUUGAUGAAUAUGGUAUCAGAAUCGAUAUGUCUGUAUGCAGUCAAAUACCUGCUGGUACUUAUGCUCCCUCUACGCUUAGCCGUCAAAUGGGGACUCUGCCUCAACUAUAUUGUGGGGGGCGAUAGCUGUUAUGGGUCAAUGAACAGACUAAGCCAGCCUUCUUAGGCAAACAAACUUGUUAACUGUGUACAGCCAUCUGCAAACAUGUUCAUACCAGCUUAUCAAGUUAUCAACACAUGUGUUUGUGUUUAUUAAGCAUGCAUGAUAAUCAUUAGCAUAGGCAAAGAAUAAUGUAUUAAAUACUAAUGUGAGCAAACAAAAUGUCAUUGACAAUGAGAAUUUCAAGUUUGGAUUCACAUGAACGAAGUAAAUUAAAAAAAAAAUGUGUUCAAUUAUUACGAUCGAAAUAGUAAUGUUAACAUUGCCUUUGCAGGUACCAAUCUACUCGUGCAGGCAUAUCUUUGAAAGUAUCAGUGUAGCCUUUGCUAAAAUACUUAAUGAUGACAAAUCCAGAAAAGCAUGGCCCUUGAAACUCAAACACAUGUAUGUUGUACCAGCAUAAAAAGUAAAGCUACGAAGGGCAUUUUCUACUCUACCGGGUAGUCAAAAUUAACUCUUAUAUGCAAAACAGAGGAAUAAACAUAGUUUCUUAGGUGCUCACCUAGCCUGUCAAGCGAGACACCAAUUUGGAGUGUGAGACAUUCGCAAAUGAUCUAGGCUGUAAAUUUCUACCAAAACGCUCCACUACAGGAGUACAUAGGAGUAAACGAUCUUCGGUUCUGUGUCAAACAAUUUUAGUGCCUGCAUAAGAUCUCACUCAAACCGAAACAACAGCACAAAUAAAAAUAAAUCUAAAAUGGAUAUGCACAAAACCCUUGCGGAAAUAAAUCAAAACAAGUUACAGCUAAGGAAAGCUAUAUUUAAAGCCAGACACGGAACCAUAGAAGGCCAAGGUGAAUAAAAAAAUCGUUGCUAAUUAAUAGGAAAAACAGGGGCCAACUUACCAUCAUCCAGAUUCAUUAUAAUCCUAAGGCUUUCUAAUCAAUCACAGUUCUGUCUUAUUUAUUUUUUUCCCUCUUUCUAGCUUUGAUGGAUGAGGCGCGUUGUUAGGGUUUACAUUCCACCUGUGGUGUUGAUUGGUGUGGCUGCCUGCAUGCGGGUUGUGUUUUCAUCCUGAGUCGUAUUGCUGGCAACGACCGCUUGAAUCAAUUUUGUUCGAAUCACUGCAUUGCUGUUUUCGUUUGCGCAAUUCGCUUCCAACAAGAGAGAACCGAAGAUCAUUUACUCCUGUGUGCUCCUGUAGUGGUGCGUUUUGGUAGAAAUUUACAGCCUAGAUCAUAUGAGAAUGUCUCGCACUCCGAAUUGGUGUCUCGCUUGACAGGCUAGGAAUCCAUCAAAAGCUGGGAUUUGUAAGCAGGUGGAAGGUGGACAAGCUAUAAUUCUCUACACUGGUGUGUGUCUCGUGGCUCUUGGUGUUGGAGGCAUUAAGGGCUCUUUGCCUGUUCAUGGGGUAGAACCAAAUUUCUUCAACUAGCAUUUUGUUCAACAUUACAGUAAGGGUUGAUUCUAGGGAUUUGUCCUCAGAAUCAAAUAAGAGUUUGUUUGCAUGAUGAAAUAGCUACAAAUUUAGUCAUCAGGUUUUAAUUAUUAGCCACUUUUGUGAAUGUUCGUACUCCAUAAUUUUUUAUCUUCAAAGGGAAAAGAACCAAGAGAUAACAACAAUAGGUCUAAUUGCUAUCAGCAGUACAAAUUGGACCUUUUUCAGGUCCAACCGCUAGUUAUAUUAUA
This is a long non-coding RNA of Cryptomeria japonica (Japanese cedar), 4878 nucleotides long. RefSeq lists it as uncharacterized. NCBI's taxonomy places the organism in Eukaryota, Viridiplantae, Streptophyta, Pinopsida, Cupressales, Cupressaceae. The transcript has 5 exons. The record is from RefSeq and is a predicted model, not a curated record.